This 1308-nucleotide ribosomal RNA is filed under the name uncultured bacterium. RNAcentral describes it as "bacterial SSU rRNA". It matches the Rfam family "Bacterial small subunit ribosomal RNA". The record is from RNAcentral.
UAUGGCUCAGAUUGAACGCUGGCGGCAGGCCUAACACAUGCAAGUCGAACGGUAACAGGAAGCAGCUUGCUGCUUUGCUGACGAGUGGCGGACGGGUGAGUAAUGUCUGGGAAACUGCCUGAUGGAGGGGGAUAACUACUGGAAACGGUAGCUAAUACCGCAUAACGUCGCAAGACCAAAGAGGGGGACCUUAGGGCCUCUUGCCAUCGGAUGUGCCCAGAUGGGAUUAGCUAGUAGGUGGGGUAACGGCUCACUUAGGCGACGAUCCCUAGCUGGUCUGAGAGGAUGACCAGCCACACUGGAACUGAGACACGGUCCAGACUCCUACGGGAGGCAGCAGUGGGGUAUAUUGCACAAUGGGCGCAAGCCUGAUGCAGCCAUGCCGCGUGUAUGAAGAAGGCCUUCGGGUUGUAAAGUACUUUCAGCGGGGAGGAAGGGAGUAAAGUUAAUACCUUUGCUCAUUGACGUUACCCGCAGAAGAAGCACCGGCUAACUCCGUGCCAGCAGCCGCGGUAAUACGGAGGGUGCAAGCGUUAAUCGGAAUUACUGGGCGUAAAGCGCACGCAGGCGGUUUGUUAAGUCAGAUGUGAAAUCCCCGGGUGGUAGUCCACGCCGUAAACGAUGUCGACCUGGAGGUUGUGCCCUUGAGGCGUGGCUUCCGGAGUUAACGCGUUAAGUCGACCGCCUGGGGAGUACGGCCGCAAGGUUAAAACUCAAAUGAAUUGACGGGGGCCCGCACAAGCGGUGGAGCAUGUGGUUUAAUUCGAUGCAACGCGAAGAACCUUACCUGGUCUUGACAUCCACGGAAGUUUUCAGAGAUGAGAAUGUGCCUUCGGGAACCGUGAGACAGGUGCUGCAUGGCUGUCGUCAGCUCGUGUUGUGAAAUGUUGGGUUAAGUCCCGCAACGAGCGCAACCCUUAUCCUUUGUUGCCAACGGUCCGGCCGGGAACUCAAAGGAGACUGCCAGUGAUAAACUGGAGGAAGGUGGGGAUGACGUCAAGUCAUCAUGGCCCUUACGACCAGGGCUACACACGUGCUACAAUGGCGCAUACAAAGAGAAGCGACCUCGCGAGAGCAAGCGGACCUCAUAAAGUGCGUCGUAGUCCGGAUUGGAGUCUGCAACUCGACUCCAUGAAGUCGGAAUCGCUAGUAAUCGUGGAUCAGAAUGCCACGGUGAAUACGUUCCCGGGCCUUGUACACACCGCCCGUCACACCAUGGGAGUGGGUUGCAAAAGAAGUAGGUAGCUUAACCUUCGGGAGGGCGCUUACCACUUUGUGAUUCAUGACUGGGGUGAAGUCGUAACAAGG